RNAcentral lists this transfer RNA (64 nucleotides) under Cavia porcellus (domestic guinea pig). It matches the Rfam family "tRNA", at positions 1 to 62 of the family's 71-position model. From Rfam's summary of the family: Transfer RNA (tRNA) molecules are approximately 80 nucleotides in length. Their secondary structure includes four short double-helical elements and three loops (D, anti-codon, and T loops). The record is from Rfam by way of RNAcentral. Lineage: Eukaryota; Metazoa; Chordata; Mammalia; Rodentia; Caviidae.
GGGGAUUUAGCUCAGUGGCAUAAGCACCUGCCUUGCAUGCAGGGGGUUGUGAGUUUGAUCCCCA